Molecule: ribosomal RNA, 794 nt
Filed under: uncultured bacterium
Lineage: Bacteria
Description: bacterial SSU rRNA
Rfam family: Bacterial small subunit ribosomal RNA
Source: RNAcentral
AGCGCGGGGCAACCUGGCGGCGAGUGGCGAACGGGUGAGUAAUAUAUCGGAACGUACCCUGGAGUGGGGGAUAACGUAGCGAAAGUUACGCUAAUACCGCAUACGAUCUAAGGAUGAAAGUGGGGGAUCGCAAGACCUCAUGCUCCUGGAGCGGCCGAUAUCUGAUUAGCUAGUUGGCGGGGUAAAAGCCCACCAAGGCAACGAUCAGUAGCUGGUCUGAGAGGACGACCAGCCACACUGGAACUGAGACACGGUCCAGACUCCUACGGGAGGCAGCAGUGGGGAAUUUUGGACAAUGGGCGCAAGCCUGAUCCAGCAAUGCCGCGUGAGUGAAGAAGGCCUUCGGGUUGUAAAGCUCUUUUGUCAGGGAAGAAACGGUGGGGGCUAAUAUCUCCCGCUAAUGACGGUACCUGAAGAAUAAGCACCGGCUAACUACGUGCCAGCAGCCGCGGUAAUACGUAGGGUGCUAGCGUUAAUCGGAAUUACUGGGCGUAAAGCGUGCGCAGGCGGUUUUGUAAGUCUGUCGUGAAAUCCCCGGGCUCAACCUGGGAAUUGCGAUGGAGACUGCAAGGCUAGAAUCUGGCAGAGGGGGGUAAAAUUCCACGUGUAGCAGUGAAAUGCGUAGAUAUGUGGAGGAACACCGAUGGCGAAGGCAGCCCCCUGGGUCAAGAUUGACGCUCAUGCACGAAAGCGUGGGGAGCAAACAGGAUUAGAUACUCUGGUAGUCCACGCCCUAAACGAUGUCUACUAGUUGUCGGGUCUUAAUUGACUUGGUAACGCAGCUAACGCGUGAA